Molecule: ribosomal RNA, 393 nt
Filed under: Escherichia coli
Lineage: Bacteria; Pseudomonadati; Pseudomonadota; Gammaproteobacteria; Enterobacterales; Enterobacteriaceae
Also listed under: 1 other name
Description: bacterial SSU rRNA
Rfam family: Bacterial small subunit ribosomal RNA
Source: RNAcentral
CAAAGGAGACUGCCAGUGAUAAACUGGAGGAAGGUGGGGAUGACGUCAAGUCAUCAUGGCCCUUACGACCAGGGCUACACACGUGCUACAAUGGCGCAUACAAAGAGAAGCGACCUCGCGAGAGCAAGCGGACCUCAUAAAGUGCGUCGUAGUCCGGAUUGGAGUCUGCAACUCGACUCCAUGAAGUCGGAAUCGCUAGUAAUCGUGGAUCAGAAUGCCACGGUGAAUACGUUCCCGGGCCUUGUACACACCGCCCGUCACACCAUGGGAGUGGGUUGCAAAAGAAGUAGGUAGCUUAACCUUCGGGAGGGCGCUUACCACUUUGUGAUUCAUGACUGGGGUGAAGUCGUAACAAGGUAACCGUAGGGGAACCUGCGGUUGGAUCACCUCCUU